AUUCAACUGACAAGUCCUAACUAGGAUGAAAUGUGCGUCUUGAAU
This 45-nucleotide non-coding RNA is filed under the name Schistosoma mattheei. The record is from RNAcentral. Lineage: Eukaryota; Metazoa; Platyhelminthes; Trematoda; Strigeidida; Schistosomatidae.